RNAcentral lists this long non-coding RNA (205 nucleotides) under Anolis carolinensis (green anole). RNAcentral's name for it is "lncRNA (ENSACAG00000035206.1)". The record is from RNAcentral. Lineage: Eukaryota; Metazoa; Chordata; Lepidosauria; Squamata; Anolidae.
UUCUCGUCCGGCGUAUCUGAAAUGUUUCAGAAGCCAGCUUUGGUGAGCAUCACUUCAAGACCCUUGAGCCUUGACUCCAUCGGCAGCAUCACACAGACAAAGAAGAGACAAAACUCAUGACUUCCACCAAGGACCGGCCCAUCGGUGGCUGUUUUUGGACGUCAAGAAGCAACGUCAGGACAACGUUGUCACCAAGGUAAGAGGU